This 203-nucleotide long non-coding RNA is filed under the name Elaeis guineensis (African oil palm). Its description in RNAcentral is "long non-coding RNA (EGUI_LNC070377)". The record is from RNAcentral. Lineage: Eukaryota; Viridiplantae; Streptophyta; Magnoliopsida; Arecales; Arecaceae.
AGCAGAUAUGUCAGAGUAGACACUAAGAGGAGCAAUGUGGAGAGCUUAGUGAUGAGACAGUCAUUCUGAUAGUAGGCCAAGAAGAUAGUAGCAGCUAUCAAGCUUCUAUAUGAAGUGCUUUAGAUCGUAGAUAGCGAGUGAUACCCUCAGAUGGACUUCUUAUAUUAUAUGAUGGAGAGGAUAAAGAAACAAAUCAAGAUGGC